AGCAGCCGCGGUAAUUCCAGCUCCAAUAGCGUAUAUUAAAGUUGUUGCAGUUAAAAAGCUCGUAGUUGAAUUUCGGGAUCAAUAUGUUGGUCGUGCCUUGGUACGUACUGGCGUCAUUGGUUUCUACCUUCUGAAGAACCUCGAUGUCAUUAAUUUGGUGUCUUGGGGAAUCAGGACUGUUACUUUGAAAAAAUUAGAGUGUUUAAAGCAAGCUCACGCUUGAAUACAUUAGCAUGGAAUAAUGAAAUAGGACGUUUGAUCCUAUUUCGUUGGUUUCUAGGAUCGACGUAAUGAUUAAUAGGGAUAGUUGGGGGCAUUAGUAUUCAAUUGUCAGAGGUGAAAUUCUUGGAUUUAUUGAAGACUAACUACUGCGAAAGCAUUUGCCAAGGAUGUUUUCAUUAAUCAAGAACGAAAGUUAGGGGAUCGAAGACGAUCAGAUACCGUCGUAGGCUUAACCAUAAACUAUGCCGACUAGGGAUCGGAUGAUGUUAAUUUUUUAAUGACUCAUUCGGCGCCUUACG
This 521-nucleotide ribosomal RNA is filed under the name uncultured Glomeromycotina. Its description in RNAcentral is "SSU rRNA". It matches the Rfam family "Eukaryotic small subunit ribosomal RNA", at positions 569 to 1092 of the family's 1831-position model. Lineage: Eukaryota; Fungi; Glomeromycota. The record is from RNAcentral.